CCCUUAGACGUUCUGGGCCGCACGCGCGCUACACUGACACAGGCAACGAGCUUUCCUUUACCGAAAGGUAUGGGUAAUCUUUUGAAACUGUGUCGUGCUGGGGAUAGAUCCUUGCAAUUUUUGAUCUUAAACGAGGAAUUCCUAGUAAGCGCGAGUCAUCAACUCGCGUUGAUUACGUCCCUGCCCUUUGUACACACCGCCCGUCGCUACUACCAAUUGAAUGGCUUAGUGAGGCCUCAGGAUCCGCGCUUAAUGUGUGGAGAAUUUGGACAAACUACGUCAUUUAGAGGAAGUAAAAGUCGUAACA
RNAcentral lists this ribosomal RNA (307 nucleotides) under uncultured eukaryote. RNAcentral describes it as "partial 18S ribosomal RNA". It matches the Rfam family "Eukaryotic small subunit ribosomal RNA", at positions 1470 to 1796 of the family's 1831-position model. The record is from RNAcentral.